UCUAGUUCACCAUGUGUUAAACUACUUAAGCGAUUGUUUAUGUUUAUGUGGCGAAAUUAAAAACAUUCUUUCAUUACGAAUUUUACAGCACAAAUAUAACGAAAUCUAAAUCCGAAAAGCACAAUAUUAAUUUCGCAGAAUAUAUUAUAAUGCAUAUAAGAGCAUUAUUUAUUACUUACACACAAACAUAUGCAAAUACAUCUGCAUUAAUAGACGACAAGUAUCAGAUAAUUCUGGGCGUGAAUCGGCUUAGUAAUAUCACGAACAACAAAGGCAUUCCGGAAAGUGAAGGUUAUUAUUCGGCUAAUAGCAUAAAAUUCGCAUAUAAAAUUAAAUCUAAAAUAUUUACAGUUUUAGUUUAAUGGUUUAUUACUGAUAGUUUUAAUUAGAGCGUUUAUUAGAUAAAUUAAUCCAAUUGUUAAAAAAUUAAUUUGGUAGCAAAAAUAUCGGUAAAUGCAAUAAACCAAAUGACAGAUAUCCAGUGCUAGAUGUAAAAAACGUAAAUCGGAUAAAAUUUUGUAUACUACAUACAUUAAUUCGAAAAUUGCAAAGCCAGUCAGUUCUCUUAUUAAAAAUAUGUAACAAAUUUGAAAUCUCAAACUGAUUCCUUAUGAAUAUAAUUAUAGAAAGUAUACUGCAUAAUUACAAUAACUAAUUAGCAGUGGUUGCUAACCAUUAUAUUAUAUCUACUCUGAUCUUUUUGUGAAUUACGCACUAAUUACCCGUUUUCCGAAGUUCGUAAAUUAAAACGUUCCAAAGUAUAAAAAUGUGACAGAAUUGUCUCUUCUAAAUUACUAAAUGAUACACUAAUUUAAAUUAAGAAAACCAAUAUUUAGACAAAUACUUGACUAAAAAAUUGUUCAAACCUAAUGCAACACCGCCUAUUUACUGUGGAAUGGGGGUUACUAACUGAAACGAUUACCUCUAUAUGGAUAUUAUAGAUAUGGUCUACUCCGAAUAUUUGACAGUUUUACCUGAUAUAAAAAUCUUAUUGCGCCUAGUUAAUUCUUCAUGAUUUUUCAUUUAACAACGAUAAUUUAGAUUACUCAUUAUAAAAAGGACCGUUUUGCAGUAAGUACCUCAAAUAAUUAAAGCUAAACUCUGUAAAAAGUUAGAUAAACAGUAUCCAUUUUCCGUUUGGCGCGGAGUAACAGAAUCACAAUGUAUCAGCUAACAACUUAAAUAUUUUAUGCGUUUUCAUUAUUCGCUCCCCGGUAUCGUGCUUCGAAAAUCAUUUCAUCCAAAAACUGAUUUCAACCACACAGGAUCAAUUUUCUAUUGUUGGCCAAGAAAUAUAAAUAGCAAUCUUCGUAUACAUACACAUAUAUGAGUUAUAAAGCAUGCACCCACCUCGAUUUUACGUCCCUCAACCACAGUGCCGUGAAGACGUUCGCGAGCUCGUUCAGCGUCGUUGCUAUUUGC
Molecule: long non-coding RNA, 1422 nt
Organism: Bactrocera tryoni
Lineage: Eukaryota; Metazoa; Arthropoda; Insecta; Diptera; Tephritidae
Exons: 3
Source: RefSeq, a predicted model, not a curated record